Molecule: long non-coding RNA, 1083 nt
Filed under: Zostera marina
Lineage: Eukaryota; Viridiplantae; Streptophyta; Magnoliopsida; Alismatales; Zosteraceae
Description: long non-coding RNA (ZMAR_LNC003724)
Source: RNAcentral
CUAAAAAUCAUCUUUUGUUACUCUCAUCCCUUGCCUAUAUAAAUCACACUGCCUUCGUCGUCGUCAUUGUAACCUAAUAGAAUCAGGGCGAUUUCUUUGUUCUUCAUUUACCAUCUCGCAAUAGUCUUCUUAUUAGUUUCUCGAUCGGGUAUGAUUUUUAUCUAGUUUUCUUACUAGGUUUCAGGUGCUUCGGAAAUUUUCGUAAUUGUUUUUAUAAUUUUUUUGGAUCUUAACGAUUUCAUACCUUUUGAUUUUUUUUCUAAUGAUUCAUGUAUUGAACUUUCAGAUGUUCUUCGAUCAUGAAUUGCUUUUUAUAAGAUUUUCAGGGUGUGAUGAUCUAUUGUAAUUGGUCCGUGUUUCUGAUCCUUCGUGAAUGAGACCUUACAUAUAUUUCUGACUUUGGGAUUAUUUAUUGAUUUUUAACUGAUUUGGGUGAAGUUUUGAUGCGUGAUUUUUAUUUUAUUUUACAAGAGCGUGAUGAUCUAUUGUAAUUGGUCCGUGUUUCUGAUCCUUCGUGAAUGAGACCAUACCUAUAUUUCUGAUUCUUCAAUUUAUUUUUUCCCUUGUAAUUAUUUUAUUUAACAUUCUUAGAUUGUUUUUUUUCCAUAGUCGGAACAAAUGACGAAGAAAAAAUACUGCAACAAUAUGAUCAUUUUUAUAUGGAUUGAUUAUUGUAUUUUAGUCUGAUGUUCUUCAUAAUUAUGCAUGAUUAUUGUAUUUUUAUAUGGAUUGUAUUAUAUAGAAAGUGGUAGGAUAUUAAGAUCUAUUGAAGGAUGGAGAUGUUUUGAUUUUUGUUUUUCAUUGCUAUCAUGGUUCCAUGUAAUGGAAUGGGAAAGAGUUCGAAAAUUAAUAAUUAAUUUGAAACAUAUCUUAAUUUUCCAAGUAAAUCUGGAACAUAUAAAUAUAGAACAUCAAAAUUAAUCAUAUAUUCAUAUGUAACAUUUUUAAUGAAGAUGUAAAAUUAAGUUGUAAUUUACAUGAUCUUCAUCAAGAACAUUCUUUGUUAAUUCAUUAAUUAUAAUAGAUUUCAAAUUCUUUUCUUUUUUAUAAAAUAAUAAUUUUUUUGUGUAUAAUAAAAUUUCC